UACGGAAGGCAGCAGUGGGGAAUAUUGCACAAUGGGCGCAAGCCUGAUGCAGCCAUGCCGCGUGUAUGAAGAAGGCCUUCGGGUUGUAAAGUACUUUCAGCGGGGAGGAAGGCGGUAAGGUUAAUAACCUUAUCGAUUGACGUUACCCGCAGAAGAAGCACCGGCUAACUCCGUGCCAGCAGCCGCGGUAAUACGGAGGGUGCAAGCGUUAAUCGGAAUUACUGGGCGUAAAGCGCACGCAGGCGGUCUGUCAAGUCGGAUGUGAAAUCCCCGGGCUUAACCUGGGAACUGCAUUCGAAACUGGCAGGCUAGAGUCUUGUAGAGGGGGUUAGAAUUCCAGGUGUAGCGGUGAAAUGCGUAGAGAUCUGGAGGAAUACCGGGUGGCGAAGGCGGCCCCUGGGACAAAGACUGACGCUCAGGUGCGAAAGCGUGGGGAGCAAACAGGGAUUAGAUACC
RNAcentral lists this ribosomal RNA (456 nucleotides) under uncultured bacterium. RNAcentral describes it as "bacterial SSU rRNA". It matches the Rfam family "Bacterial small subunit ribosomal RNA", at positions 340 to 786 of the family's 1533-position model. The record is from RNAcentral.